This 403-nucleotide ribosomal RNA is filed under the name Verrucomicrobiota bacterium. RNAcentral describes it as "Verrucomicrobia bacterium partial 16S ribosomal RNA". It matches the Rfam family "Bacterial small subunit ribosomal RNA", at positions 355 to 776 of the family's 1533-position model. Lineage: Bacteria; Pseudomonadati; Verrucomicrobiota. The record is from RNAcentral.
UGGGGAAUAUUGCACAAUGGGGGAAACCCUGAUGCAGCGACGCCGCGUGAGCGAAGAAGGUUUUCGAAUCGUAAAGCUCUGUCCUAUGAGAAGAUAAUGACGGUAUCAUAGGAGGAAGCCCCGGCUAAAUACGUGCCAGCAGCCGCGGUAAUACGUAGGGGGCUAGCGUUAUCCGGAUUUACUGGGCGUAAAGGGUGCGUAGGUGGUCUUUCAAGUCGGGGGUUAAAAGCUACGGGUCAACCGUAGUUAGCCUCCGAAACUGGAAGAGUUGAGUGCAGGAGAGGAGAGUGGAAUUCCCAGUGUGGCGGUGAAAUGCGUAGAUAUUGGGAGGAACACCAGUAGCGAAGGCGGCUUUCUUGACUGCAACUGACACUGAGGCACGAAAGCGUGGGUAGCAAACAGG